This 253-nucleotide ribosomal RNA is filed under the name uncultured bacterium. RNAcentral's name for it is "partial 16S ribosomal RNA". It matches the Rfam family "Bacterial small subunit ribosomal RNA", at positions 524 to 776 of the family's 1533-position model. The record is from RNAcentral.
UACAGAGGUCUCAAGCGUUGUUCGGAUCCAUUGGGCGUAAAGGGUGUGUAGGUGGCGCCGUAAGUCGGGUGUGAAAUUUCGGAGCUUAACUCCGAAACUGCAUUCGAUACUGCGGUGCUUGAGGACUGGAGAGGAGACUGGAAUUCAUGGUGUAGCAGUGAAAUGCGUAGAGAUCAUGAGGAAGACCAGUGGCGAAGGCGGGUCUCUGGACAGUUCCUGACACUGAGACACGAAGGCCAGGGGAGCAAACGGG